UCGACGGGACAAACUAAACCCGAAGGCGUAUUGAACGAGAAGGCCCGCCUCGCGCGGGCCUAGGGGUGAUGGCGGCCUCGCGGCCGCCCGCAACCCCGGGGCGUCUCGAUCUACCGUCGCUCGUCGGCGGAAGGCGAGGCGCACCUAGAGCGCGCACGCUGGGACCCGAAAGAUGGUGAACUAUGCCUGGCCAGGACGAAGUCAGGGGAAACCCUGAUGGAGGUCCGUAGCGAUUCUGACGUGCAAAUCGAUCGUCAGAGCUGGGUAUAGGGGCGAAAGACUAAUCGAACCAUCUAGUAGCUGGUUCCCUCCGAAGUUUCCCUCAGGAUAGCUGGCGCCCGCGGUACCGAGUCCCAUCCGGUAAAGCGAAUGAUUAGAGGCAUUGGGGUCGAAAGGACCUCAACCUAUUCUCAAACUUUAAAUGGGUGGGAACCGCGGCUUUUUUGAACGUGAAGCCGCGGACGCGGAUCAGGGUGCCAAUUGGGCCACUUUUGGUAAGCAGAACUGGCGCUGUGGGAUGAACCAAACGCCCGGUUAAGGCGCCCGAACCGACGCUCAUCGGAAACCAUGAAAGGUGUUGGUUGCUUAAGACAGCAGGACG
RNAcentral lists this ribosomal RNA (601 nucleotides) under Dabulamanzia sp. 3 MTM-2009. RNAcentral describes it as "eukaryotic LSU rRNA". It matches the Rfam family "Eukaryotic large subunit ribosomal RNA", at positions 691 to 1247 of the family's 3401-position model. Lineage: Eukaryota; Metazoa; Arthropoda; Insecta; Ephemeroptera; Baetidae. The record is from RNAcentral.